This 250-nucleotide ribosomal RNA is filed under the name uncultured bacterium. Its description in RNAcentral is "partial 16S ribosomal RNA". It matches the Rfam family "Bacterial small subunit ribosomal RNA", at positions 810 to 1058 of the family's 1533-position model. The record is from RNAcentral.
UGGGCACUAGGUGUGGGGGACAUUCCACGUUUUCCGCGCCGUAGCUAACGCAUUAAGUGCCCCGCCUGGGGAGUACGGCCGCAAGGCUAAAACUCAAAGGAAUUGACGGGGGCCCGCACAAGCGGCGGAGCAUGCGGAUUAAUUCGAUGCAACGCGAAGAACCUUACCAAGGCUUGACAUGCAUUAGAUCGCGUCAGAGAUGGCGUUUCCCUUCGGGGCUGGUGUACAGGUGGUGCAUGGCUGUCGUCAG